RNAcentral lists this ribosomal RNA (500 nucleotides) under uncultured bacterium. RNAcentral describes it as "partial 16S ribosomal RNA". It matches the Rfam family "Bacterial small subunit ribosomal RNA", at positions 30 to 523 of the family's 1533-position model. The record is from RNAcentral.
AUUGAACACUGGCGGCAUGCCUUACACAUGCAAGUCGAACGGCAGCACGGGAGCAAUCCUGGUGGCGAGUGGCGAACGGGUGAGUAAUAUAUCGGAACGUGCCCAGUCGUGGGGGAUAACGUAGCGAAAGCUACGCUAAUACCGCAUACGAUCUACGGAUGAAAGCGGGGGAUCGCAAGACCUCGCGCGAUUGGAGCGGCCGAUAUCAGAUUAGGUAGUUGGUGAGGUAAAGGCUCACCAAGCCGACGAUCUGUAGCUGGUCUGAGAGGACGACCAGCCACACUGGGACUGAGGCACGGCCCAGACUCCUACGGGAGGCAGCAGUGGGGAAUUUUGGACAAUGGGCGCAAGCCUGAUCCAGCAAUGCCGCGUGCAGGAUGAAGGCCUUCGGGUUGUAAACUGCUUUAGUACGGAACGAAACGGCGAGCUCUAAUACAGUUUGCUAAUGACGGUACCGUAAGAAUAAGCACCGGCUAACUACGUGCCAGCCGCCGCCGUAA